GACGAACGCUGGCGGCGUGCUUAACACAUGCAAGUCGAACGGAAAGGCCCUUCUUUUGUGGGGUGCUCGAGUGGCGAACGGGUGAGUAACACGUGAGUAACCUGCCCUUGACUUUGGGAUAACUUCAGGAAACUGGGGCUAAUACCGGAUAGGAGCUCCUGCUGCAUGGUGGGGGUUGGAAAGUUUCGGCGGUUGGGGAUGGACUCGCGGCUUAUCAGCUUGUUGGUGGGGUAGUGGCUUACCAAGGCUUUGACGGGUAGCCGGCCUGAGAGGGUGACCGGCCACAUUGGGACUGAGAUACGGCCCAGACUCCUACGGGAGGCAGAAGUGGGGAAUAUUGCACAAUGGGCGGAAGCCUGAUGCAGCAACGCCGCGUGCGGGAUGACGGCCUUCGGGUUGUAAACCGCUUUCGCCUGUGACGAAGCGUGAGUGACGGUAAUGGGUAAAGAAGCACCGGCUAACUACGUG
This 468-nucleotide ribosomal RNA is filed under the name uncultured bacterium. RNAcentral describes it as "partial 16S ribosomal RNA". It matches the Rfam family "Bacterial small subunit ribosomal RNA", at positions 28 to 507 of the family's 1533-position model. The record is from RNAcentral.